CUCAAAGUUGGAAAAUGGUUAUCUAAAUUCACAGUUUUUUCGCAUAUAUUAAAAAGAAACAAAUCAAAUGGCCCAACCUCGCCAGAACAGCCUGCUGUCGGGCAUUCAAGCCGUACGUCUGUUUUGGUCUGUCCACAACGAACGGCGCCGUUCGAGUCAAAUCAGUCAACUAACCCAACGCAGCCAAUCCGACGACGCUUGCUCCCAGCCGGCAACCGAUGAUCCGGCCAAGGUAGAGUCGAAGAUAUGUCGCAUAUGUCGCGCUGGUGAUGAAUUGCUGCUGGAAAAUCUUUGCAACUGCAAGGGAAGCAUUGGCCAUAUCCACGAGCGGUGCCUUCGGCUGUGGACCAUCUACCAGUCCAGUCAGGUGUGCGAGAUCUGUCACUGCAAGUUUCGCUGGGACCUCGGUAGUACCCUGUCGGUGAAAUCGAGCGACUGGAGAUUGGUUGGAAACUUUCUCCGAAGGCGCUACUUUUGGGUUUUGGUGCGAGAUUUGCUAAAUUUUCUAGUUUUAUUCGGUAUUUCUGUGAUGCAGAAUGCCAAUGUAAUGUCCAUGGUUCAGGAUGAGCAAGAGAGCGGUUUCACGGCGAUUCUGCCGCUGACGGUGAUUUGUGCCUCCUGUUACGAUAUGUACUUCACCCGAUGGGUGGUGAACAGAACCGUGAAGGCGUAUAAUUUGAUCCGGGAAUACUGGACCAUGGCACACGAUGACGAAUUUCUGGGCUAUUUUGACGAAGAGUUUGCUGUUUUCGGCGAAAAUCAAAUCGAAAUCGAGGAUAUGCUGCUAGCGGAGUACGAAGCUCCCGAUUAGAUGCGGAAUAGCAGAACGUAGAAGGUACGAGAUGAUGAAUCACCAGCUUGGAAUGAUGUAGUCGAAACACGCCCUCCUAGCCUCGACUGCAUUUAUCGUCGGUGGAAGCGAUGAAAAUUUGCGGUUGCCAGUACGGUACACAACUGGGAUGACAAAUUUAUGAGUUGGAAUUAAUGGUUUGCUAGUCGGCAUCGAAUAGUGUGCAGUGCGGUUCUUUGCGAAAAUGUUUUUUUUUUCGACGAACAUAUCGUCACAACAUGAAGUGAAUAUAUUCAAAUAUUUAACAAUUUAUUGGGUA
This is an RNA transcript of Topomyia yanbarensis, 1109 nucleotides long. RefSeq lists it as uncharacterized. The record is from RefSeq and is a predicted model, not a curated record. NCBI's taxonomy places the organism in Eukaryota, Metazoa, Arthropoda, Insecta, Diptera, Culicidae. The transcript is spliced from 4 exons.